Molecule: long non-coding RNA, 253 nt
Filed under: Ananas comosus (pineapple)
Lineage: Eukaryota; Viridiplantae; Streptophyta; Magnoliopsida; Poales; Bromeliaceae
Description: long non-coding RNA (ACOM_LNC022839)
Source: RNAcentral
UAAUGCAUCGUAAGCUAGCCAAUAAUAUAUAUGACGUACAGAAUAUUAAAAAAAAAUUAUUUGUAAGUGUAUUAAUUUGCGUUUAAGAAUAGUACUGCAUUCCAACCGUCCCCAAAGCAAGUGGCAAAGGGUUUGGUGGUUGGUACCCGAGACCCAAGUUCGAAUCCUAGUUGAUUCACAUUUCCAGCUAAGUUUAUUUCUAAAUGAAAUAAACGAAGCGGGUAGCGUGCUACCUAUCUCUCUCAAAAAAAAA